GGCUCAAUGGUCUAGAGGUAUGAUUCUCGCUUUGGGUGCGAGAGGUCCCGGGUUCAAUUCCCGGUUGAGCCC
Lutzomyia longipalpis is the source of this 72-nucleotide non-coding RNA. Lineage: Eukaryota; Metazoa; Arthropoda; Insecta; Diptera; Psychodidae. The record is from Rfam.